Molecule: ribosomal RNA, 301 nt
Filed under: uncultured bacterium
Lineage: Bacteria
Description: partial 16S ribosomal RNA
Rfam family: Bacterial small subunit ribosomal RNA
Source: RNAcentral
CAGCCGCCACGGUAAUACGAAGGGUGCGAGCGUUAAUCGGAAUUACUGGGCGUAAAGCGUGCGUAGGCGGUUUGUUAAGUCUGUUGUGAAAUCCCCGGGCUCAACCUGGGAAUGGCAAUGGAUACUGGCAAGCUAGAGUGUGUCAGAGGAUGGUGGAAUUCCCGGUGUAGCGGUGAAAUGCGUAGAGAUCGGGAGGAACAUCAGUGGCGAAGGCGGCCAUCUGGGACAACACUGACGCUGAGGCACGAAAGCGUGGGGAGCAAACAGGAUUAGAUACCCCGGUAGUCCCUGUCUCUUAUAC